This 503-nucleotide ribosomal RNA is filed under the name Rhabditophanes sp. H22A. Its description in RNAcentral is "SSU rRNA". It matches the Rfam family "Eukaryotic small subunit ribosomal RNA", at positions 196 to 768 of the family's 1831-position model. The record is from RNAcentral. Lineage: Eukaryota; Metazoa; Nematoda; Chromadorea; Rhabditida; Alloionematidae.
CCGUGGUGCGUUUAUUUGAUUAAACUAGAAAUUGGUUGACUCAAAAUAUCUUUGCUGAACUACUCACGUAGUCAUGCGGUAUAAGUAUCUGCUUUAUCAACUUUCGAUGGUAGGGUAUUGGCCUACCAUGGUGUUGACGGAUAACGGAGAAUCAGGGUUCGACUCCGGAGAGGGAGCCUGAGAAACGGCUACCACAUCCAAGGAAGGCAGCAGGCGCGAAAAUUACCCGAUUUUAGUUAAAAGAGGUAGUGACGAAAAAUGACAAGGCUACAAAUUUUGUUUGUAGUCAUUGGAAAUCUUCGAGUCUAAAUAACUCGUUGGUAAAGGAAAGGGCAAGUCUGGUGCCAGCAGCCGCGGUAAUACCAGCUUUCCAAGUGCAUAAAAUGAUUGUUGUGGUUAAAAAGCUCGUAGUUGGAUUUUAACAGACUGUCUAUGAUCGUCAAUGACGUUUCAUAGCAUCUGCCAGCGAAUAUAACUAUUCGCUAGUUACUUUGAAUAAAUCA